AGAGUUUGAUCAUGGCUCAGGACGAACGCUGGCGGCGUGCUUAACACAUGCAAGUCGAACGGGCCUGGGGGCAACUCCAGGUCAGUGGCGGACGGGUGCGUAACACGUAAGUAACGUGUCCUUCGAUGGGGGAUAGCCGGCCCAACGGCCGGGUAAUACCGCAUACGGUCUCCCGUGGCAUCGCGGGUGACGAAAGUGGGGGCAACCUCACGUCGAUGGAGCGGCUUGCGGCCUAUCAGCUAGUUGGUGAGGUCAUGGCUCACCAAGGCUACGACGGGUAGCUGGUCUGAGAGGAUGAUCAGCCACAUUGGGACUGAGACACGGCCCAGACUCCUACGGGAGGCAGCAGUGGGGAAUCUUGCGCAAUGGGCGAAUGCCUGACGCAGCGACGCCGCGUGUGGGAUGAAGGCCUUCGGGUUGUAAACCACUGUCGGGGGGGACGAAGGCCCGGCCGGUAACUCGGACCGGGAUUGACGGUACCCUCAAAGGAAGCACCGGCUAACUCCGUGCCAGCAGCCGCGGUAAUACGGAGGGUGCGAGCGUUGUCCGGAAUCACUGGGCGUAAAGGGCGCGUAGGCGGCUGGGUAAGUCAUGCGUGAAAUUCCGGGGCUCAACCCCGGAACGGCGUGUGGGACUGCCCGGCUAGAGCACGGUAGAGGCGAGUGGAAUUCCAGGUGUAGCGGUGGAAUGCGUAGAUAUCUGGAAGAACACCGGUGGCGAAGGCGGCUCGCUGGGCCGUUGCUGACGCUGAGGCGCGAAAGCGUGGGGAGCAAACAGGAUUAGAUACCCUGGUAGUCCACGCUGUAAACGAUGGGCACUAGGCGUCGGGGGGAGCGACCCCCUCGGUGCCGUCGCUAACGCAAUAAGUGCCCCGCCUGGGGAGUACGGCCGCAAGGCUGAAACUCAAAGGAAUUG
Molecule: ribosomal RNA, 915 nt
Filed under: uncultured bacterium
Lineage: Bacteria
Description: bacterial SSU rRNA
Rfam family: Bacterial small subunit ribosomal RNA
Source: RNAcentral